UGAGUAACACGUAUCCAACCUGCCGUCUACUCUUGGACAGCCUUCUGAAAGGAAGAUUAAUACAAGAUGGCAUCAUGAGUCCACAUGUUCACAUGAUUAAAGGUAUUCCGGUAGACGAUGGGAUGCGUUCCAUUAGAUAGUAGGCGGGGUAACGGCCCACCUAGUCUUCGAUGGAUAGGGGUUCUGAGAGGAAGGUCCCCCACAUUGGAACUGAGACACGGUCCAA
RNAcentral lists this ribosomal RNA (226 nucleotides) under uncultured bacterium. RNAcentral's name for it is "partial 16S ribosomal RNA". It matches the Rfam family "Bacterial small subunit ribosomal RNA", at positions 107 to 334 of the family's 1533-position model. The record is from RNAcentral.